Rhagoletis zephyria (snowberry fruit fly) is the source of this 1170-nucleotide long non-coding RNA. RefSeq lists it as uncharacterized. The record is from RefSeq and is a predicted model, not a curated record. Lineage: Eukaryota; Metazoa; Arthropoda; Insecta; Diptera; Tephritidae.
CAGCAGUGAACCUGUUCGCCAGCCUUACGUGAGCAGUCAGGCGGUCAAUCAGUUUAGCGCGCCACUUUGCUUUUGUCAACAGCCAAGCAACUGCUGCUGCUCAGCGGCCAUUGCUAGUGGCAUCAUCAUGGUACAAGAGUACCGGGCCAACAGCAGCACCUCCUCGUCAAUAAACGCUAAUAUCAAAACAGGCAACGCGCCCAUAUAAACAAAAGUAACUCACACAAACAUGACAAUAACAAUGAAAAUAAUAUUGCACAUGACUCGCUAUCUUUGAGCAUCAACUGCUGCCAUUAACAUUGGUGCUCGUCGGCAAUGUACGAUUCACAAAGCGCUUUGAGUACACCUCGUUACUCUCGCCCACUGGAGCGUAGAAGUCAGUGAAGUUUAGCAGCGGUCAAAACUUGAAUGAAAUUUCAAUACAAAACAGAGAAACAGCAAACAACGAAAACGCAAACGCAAACGUGAUGUCGAACCACGAAAUGGAUAUAAUAUCAAAUGGGCAAAUAGGAAAAGCCAUAAAAAACGACGAGUAUAAGAAAAAAGUGAAAUUGACGCUUUAGUAAUCCGCUACAACAACAAUAACGAACAUCUAUGUAUAUACAUUAGGGUGGUCCUUAAAUACAUCUACCGGAAAGGAAUACCUCCGCCUGCUCAAGUUAUUGCGCUAAAAGCUAUUCCUCGAUGGCAUAAACCGGAAGGACAAUGACUUUCUUCGCAAAAAAAGAGCAAAGUGCUAAUUGGGAAAUAAAGAAAAAACCGUAAAAAUGUCACUAAGAGCAAGUUGUGCAUAGAAGAGCGUCGCAACCAAAAAUAUUUAAAUACAUCGGAAUCAGGUAUGCCAACUGGUGGAGAAUUCCCCGGUUUUGGUGGAAUUCGAACUUUGUGCGGAAUGGCUUAAUAUUUUGAGGGAAUUUAAUAUACAGACUAUUUUGACCAUAUACCUUUGCGGUCAGCUGAUUAAGUUGAGUGACAUUCUGACUAAUUUUGUCUAUUCUUCUUCUGUUUAUGCAACAUUUGAAAUUAUUUACAGCGUGACAAAGAAUAAGGUUUAAAAAUUUAAAAAUAAAUAGUGUAGUUGAUAACCUUAAAGUAAAAUACCUACAAAAUUAACGACAAAAUAUUUCUUGUGCAAAAUAUGACAAUAAAGGUUGUUUUUAUUUAUAUUUA